UCUGACUUGAGUGCAGAAGGGGAGAGUGGAAUUCCAUGUGUAGCGGUGAAAUGCGUAGAUAUAUGGAGGANCACCAGUGGCGAAAGCGGCUCUCUGGUCUGUCACUGACGCUGAGGCUCGAAAGCGUGGGUAGCGAACAGGAUUAGAUACCCUGGUAGUNCACGCCGUAAACGAUGAGUGCUAGGUGUUAGGCCCUUUCCGGGGCUUAGUGCCGGAGCUAACGCAAUAAGCACUCCGCCUGGGGAGUACGACCGCAAGGUUGAAACUCAAAGGAAUUGACGGGGGCCCGCACAAGCGGUGGAGCAUGUGGUUUAAUUCGAAGCAACGCGAAGAACCUUACCAGGUCUUGACAUCCCGAUGCUAUUCUUAGAGAUAGGAAGUUACUUCGGUACAUCGGAGACAGGUGGUGCAUGGUUGUCGUCAGCUCGUGUCGUGAGAUGUUGGGUUAAGNNNCGCAACGAGCGCAACCCUUAUUGUUAGUUGCCAUCAUUAAGUUGGGCACUCUAGCGAGACUGCCGGUAAUAAACCGGAGGAAGGUGGGGAUGACGUCAAAUCAUCAUGCCCCUUAUGACCUGGGCUACACACGUGCUACAAUGGUCGGUACAACGAGUUGCGAGCCGGUGACGGCAAGCUAAUCUCUGAAAGCCGAUCUCAGUUCGGAUUGGAGGCUGCAACUCGCCUCCAUGAAGUCGGAAUCGCUAGUAAUCGCGGAUCAGCACGCCGCGGUGAAUACGUUCCCGGGCCUUGU
This 748-nucleotide ribosomal RNA is filed under the name uncultured bacterium. RNAcentral describes it as "bacterial SSU rRNA". It matches the Rfam family "Bacterial small subunit ribosomal RNA", at positions 636 to 1384 of the family's 1533-position model. The record is from RNAcentral.